AGUGGGGAAUAUUGCACAAUGGACGAAAGUCUGAUGCAGCAACGCCGCGUGGAGGAUGACACAUUUCGGUGCGUAAACUCCUUUUAUAUGGGAAGAUAAUGACGGUACCAUAUGAAUAAGCACCGGCUAACUCCGUGCCAGCAGCCGCGGUAAUACGGAGGGUGCAAGCGUUACUCGGAAUCACUGGGCGUAAAGAGCGUGUAGGCGGGUAGAUAAGUCAGAAGUGAAAUCCAAUAGCUCAACUAUUGAACUGCUUUUGAAACUGUCGAUCUAGAAUAUGGGAGAGGUAGAUGGAAUUUCUGGUGUAGGGGUAAAAUCCGUAGAGAUCAGAAGGAAUACCGAUUGCGAAGGCGAUCUACUGGAACAUUAUUGACGCUGAGACGCGAAAGCGUGGGGAGCAAACAGGAUUAGAUACCCUGGCAGUCCACGCCCUAAACGAUGUACACUAGUUGUUGUGAGGCUAGACCUUGCAGUAAUGCAGUUAACACAUUAAGUGUACCGCCUGGGGAGUACGGUCGCAAGAUUAAAACUCAAAGGAAUAGACGGGGACCCGCACAAGCGGUGGAGCAUGUGGUUUAAUUCGACGAUACGCGAAGAACCUUACCUGGACUUGACAUAGAUAGAAUAUAACAGAGAUGUAAUAGUGCUAGCUUGCUAGAACUAUCAUACAGGUGCUGCACGGCUGUCGUCAGCUCGUGUCGUGAGAUGUUGGGUUAAGUCCCGCAACGAGCGCAACCCUCGUGUUUAGUUGCUAACAGUUCGGCUGAGAACUCUAAACAGACUGCCUGGGUAACCAGGAGGAAGGUGAGGACGACGUCAAGUCAUCAUGGCCCUUACGUCCAGGGCUACACACGUGCUACAAUGGGGCAUACAAAGAGCAGCAAUACGGUGACGUGGAGCAAAUCUCAAAAAUGCCUCCCAGUUCGGAUAGUAGUCUGCAACUCGACUACUUGAAGUUGGAAUCGCUAGUAAUCGUAGAUCAGCAAUGCUACGGUGAAUACGUUCCCGGGUCUUGUACUCACCGCCCGUCACACCAUGGGAGUUGAACUCAUUCGAAGCGGGGAUGCUAAAGUAGCUACCCUCCACAGUGGAUUUAGCGACUGGGGUG
This 1108-nucleotide ribosomal RNA is filed under the name uncultured bacterium. RNAcentral describes it as "bacterial SSU rRNA". It matches the Rfam family "Bacterial small subunit ribosomal RNA", at positions 353 to 1482 of the family's 1533-position model. The record is from RNAcentral.